UCAGACAUUUCUAAUGCUCAGCAAUAUG
This 28-nucleotide non-coding RNA is filed under the name Mus musculus (house mouse). Lineage: Eukaryota; Metazoa; Chordata; Mammalia; Rodentia; Muridae. The record is from RNAcentral.